GGGGCUAUAGCUCAGUUGGCAGAGCGCCUCCAUGGCAUGGAGGAGGUCGAGGGUUCAAUUCCCUCUAGCUCCACAA
Molecule: transfer RNA, 76 nt
Filed under: Acidimicrobiaceae bacterium
Lineage: Bacteria; Bacillati; Actinomycetota; Acidimicrobiia; Acidimicrobiales; Acidimicrobiaceae
Also listed under: 1 other name
Description: tRNA-Ala
Rfam family: tRNA
About the family: Transfer RNA (tRNA) molecules are approximately 80 nucleotides in length.
Source: RNAcentral